AGUGAACGCUGGCGGCGUGCCUAACACAUGCAAGUCGAACGGACGAAGAGAGCUUGCUCUCCUAGUUAGUGGCGCACGGGUGAGUAACACGUAGCUAACCUGCCCCAUAGUAAGGGACUACAGGUGGAAACGAAUGCUAAUACCUUAUACUCCUUCUCUACCUCAGUAGAGUCGGGUAAGAUUUUUCGCUAUGGGAUGGGGCUGCGGCCUAUCGGCUUGUUGGGGAGGGAAUGGCUCCCCAAGGCUAUGACGUGUAGCUGGUGCUAGAGGGUGGUCAGGCACAUUGGAACUGAGACACGGUCCAAACUCCUACGGGAGGCAGCAGUGGGGAAUUUUACACAAUGGGCGAAAGCCUGAUGUAGCAACGCCGCGUGGAGGAUGAUGGAUUUAGGUUCGUAAACUCCUUUUAUAAGGGAAGAAAUUUGACGGUACCUUAUGAAUAAGCACCGGCUAACUCCGUGCCAGCAGCCGCAGUAA
This 477-nucleotide ribosomal RNA is filed under the name uncultured bacterium. RNAcentral describes it as "partial 16S ribosomal RNA". It matches the Rfam family "Bacterial small subunit ribosomal RNA", at positions 29 to 523 of the family's 1533-position model. The record is from RNAcentral.